GGUGAGGCGCAGCGGGGGGCAAUCAACCCUGUGACAUACCUAAACGUUGCCUCGGCGGGAACAGACGGCCCCGUGAAAACGGUCCGCCCCCGCCAGAGGACCCCCUAACUCUGUUUCUAUAAUGUUUCUUCUGAGUAAAACAAGCAAAUAAAUUAAAACUUUCAACAACGGAUCUCUUGGCUCUGGCAUCGAUGAAGAACGCAGCGAAAUGCGAUAAGUAAUGUGAAUUGCAGAAUUCAGUGAAUCAUCGAAUCUUUGAACGCACAUUGCGCCCGCCAGUAUUCUGGCGGGCAUGCCUGUUCGAGCGUCAUUACAACCCUCAGGCCCCCGGGCCUGGCGUUGGGGAUCGGCGGAGGCCCUCCGUGGGCACACGCCGUCCCCCAAAUACAGUGGCGGUCCCGCCGCAGCUUCCAUCGCGUAGUAGCUAACACCUCGCGACUGGAGAGCGGCGCGGCCACGCCGUAAAACCCCCAACUCUUCUGAAGUUGACCUCGAAUCAGGUAGGAAUACCCGCUGAACUUAAGCAUAUAUAGGCCCGGAAGGAAAGUUCCUUUCCCGGG
RNAcentral lists this small RNA (560 nucleotides) under Fusarium solani. Its description in RNAcentral is "eukaryotic LSU rRNA". The stretch from base 157 to 310 matches the Rfam family "5.8S ribosomal RNA". Lineage: Eukaryota; Fungi; Ascomycota; Sordariomycetes; Hypocreales; Nectriaceae. The record is from RNAcentral.